AGCAGCCGCGGUAAUUCCAGCUCCAAUAGCGUAUAUUAAAGUUGUUGCAGUUAAAAGCUCGUAGUUGAAUUUCGGGGUUAGUAGGUUGGUCAUGCCACUGGUAUGUACUGAUCUUACUGAUUCCUCCUUCCUGAUGAACCGUAAUGCCAUUAAUUUGGUGUUGCGGGGAGACUGGACUGUUACUUUGAAAAAUUGAGUGUUUAAAGCAGGCUAACGCUUGAAUACAUUAGCAUGGAAUAAUGAAAUAGGACGUUCGAUCCUAUUUUGUUGGUUUCUAGGAUUGACGUAAUGAUUAAUAGGGAUAGUUGGGGGCAUUAGUAUUCAAUUGUCAGAGGUGAAAUUCUUGGAUUUAUUGAAGACUAACUACUGCGAAAGCAUUUGCCAAGGAUGUUUUCAUUAAUCAAGAACGAAAGUUAGGGAUCGAAGACGAUCAGAUACCGUCGUAGUCUU
Molecule: ribosomal RNA, 450 nt
Filed under: uncultured Glomeromycotina
Lineage: Eukaryota; Fungi; Glomeromycota
Description: SSU rRNA
Rfam family: Eukaryotic small subunit ribosomal RNA
Source: RNAcentral